GCCCCCCAUCAACCUCUCGCUCUCUGGACUUGGGUUGUAAAUCGCCUCAAGGGGACAGAAACCACCCAGAAAGCUGGGAGGGGCCCCACGAGCUUACGACUGAGGUGGGAUAAUCCGCGGAGUGGUCACCCACGUGCUCGUGGCCCUGGAGUCCCUGUGACCAGCCCUGGAGACGUCACCUCAGAGGGAGGGGGCUUUGCCCGCUUCCUUCACCGCUGGGGCCGGGACCUGGAUCUUGAGCACAGAGUAGAUCUCGGUGAGAUGACAUCAUCGCCAUUAAAGUCAAAAGAAGUCUGUCUUUUCAUAAAGAUACAAAUGUCUGGAGGAGAUAAUUGAUUUGGCUAAGUGAUAACAUGUGCCCCAUUUAUUAAACAAAAUUUUUCAAUAAAAAGGAUUUUUUAUGA
Homo sapiens (human) is the source of this 404-nucleotide long non-coding RNA. NCBI's taxonomy places the organism in Eukaryota, Metazoa, Chordata, Mammalia, Primates, Hominidae. The record is from Ensembl.